GAUCAUGGCUCAGAUUGAACGCUGGCGGCAGGCCUAACACAUGCAAGUCGAGCGGCAUCGGGAAGGUAGCUUGCUAUCUUUGCCGGCGAGCGGCGGACGGGUGAGUAAAGUCUGGGGAUCUGCCUGAUGGAGGGGGAUAACUACUGGAAACGGUAGCUAAUACCGCAUGAUGUUACGCGACCAAAGCGGGGGACCUCCGGGCCUCGCGCCAUCAGAUGAACCCAGAUGGGAUUAGCUAGUAGGAGAGGUAAUGGCUCCCCUAGGCGACGAUCCCUAGCUGGUCUGAGAGGAUAACCAGCCACACUGGAACUGAGAGACGGUCCAGACUCCUACGGGAGGCAGCAGUGGGGAAUAUUGCACAAUGGGCGCAAGCCUGAUGCAGCCAUGCCGCGUGUGUGAAGAAGGCCUUCGGGUGUA
RNAcentral lists this ribosomal RNA (417 nucleotides) under symbiont type-X of Acyrthosiphon pisum. RNAcentral describes it as "bacterial SSU rRNA". It matches the Rfam family "Bacterial small subunit ribosomal RNA", at positions 15 to 427 of the family's 1533-position model. The record is from RNAcentral. Lineage: Bacteria; Pseudomonadati; Pseudomonadota; Gammaproteobacteria; Enterobacterales; Enterobacteriaceae.